GGGUGCCCAGGCGCGAAAACUUUACCCUGCGGGCAACCGUGAUAAGGAAACCCCGAGUGCCACCACAGGGUGGCUGUCCGCCAGUUUAAACAACUGGUGAAGAAAGGGCCGGGCAAGACCGGUGCCAGCCGCCGCGGUAAUACCGGCGGCUCGAGUGGUGGCCGCUUUUACUGGGCUUAAAGGGUCCGUAGCUGGAUCUGUGUGUCCCUUGAGAAAUCUAUCGGCUCAACUGAUAGGCGUUCAGGGGAAACUGCAGUUCUAGGGACCGGGAGAGGUGAGAGGUACUGCCGGGGUAGGAGUGAAAUCCUGUAAUCCCGGUGGGACGACCUAUGGCGAAGGCAUCUCACCAGAACGGCUCCGACAGUGAGGGACGAAAGCUGGGGGAGCAAACCGGAUUAGAUACCCGGGUAGUCCCAGCUGUAAACGAUGCGCAUUAGGUGUGUCAGUGACCACGUGUCACUGAGGUGCCGAAGGGAAACCGUGAAAUGCGCCGCCUGGGGAGUACGGUCGCAAGGCUGAAACUUAAAGGAAUUGGCGGGGGAGCAC
This 546-nucleotide ribosomal RNA is filed under the name uncultured archaeon. Its description in RNAcentral is "bacterial SSU rRNA". It matches the Rfam family "Archaeal small subunit ribosomal RNA", at positions 328 to 879 of the family's 1478-position model. The record is from RNAcentral.